Molecule: ribosomal RNA, 834 nt
Filed under: archaeon enrichment culture
Lineage: Archaea
Description: bacterial SSU rRNA
Rfam family: Archaeal small subunit ribosomal RNA
Source: RNAcentral
GCGGCCACUGCUAUCAAGUUCCGACUAAGCCAUGCGAGUCAAGGUAUCGUAAGAUGCCGGCAAACUGCUCAGUAACACGUGGAUAAUCUAACCUUGAGUAGGGGAUAACUUCGGGAAACUGAAGGUAAUACCUUAUAAUUGCUUAAAACUGGAAUGUUUAAGCAAUAAAAGUUCCGACGCUCAAGGAUGAGUCUGCGACCUAUCAGGUAGUAGGUGGUGUAAUGGACCACCUAGCCUCAGACGGGUACGGGCCCUGGGAGGGGUAGCCCGGAGAUGGACUCUGAGACAUCAGUCCAGGCCCUACGGGGCGCAGCAGGCGCGAACACUGUGCAAUGCGCGAAAGCGCGACACGGGGAGCUUGAGUGUCUUGGCAUAGCCAAGACUUUUCUCAUUCCUAAAAAGCAUGAGGAAUAAGUGCUGGGUAAGACGGGUGCCAGCCGCCGCGGUAACACCCGCAGCACAAGUGGUGGUCACUUUUAUUGAGCCUAAAGCGUUCGUAGCCGGUUUUGUAAAUCUUUAGAUAAAGCCUGAAGCUUAACUCCAGAAAGUCUGAAGAGACUGCAAGACUUGAGAUCGGGUGAGGUUAAACGUACUUUCAGGGUAGGGGUAAAAUCCUGUAAUCCCGGAAGGACGACCAGUGGCGAAAGCGUUUAACUAGAACGAAUCUGACGGUAAGGAACGAAGGCUAGGGUGGCAAACCGGAUUAGAUACCCGGGUAGUCCUAGCUGUAAACACUGCCCAUUUGAUGUUGCUUUUCCGUUGAGGGAAGGCAGUGUCGGAGCGAAGGUGUUAAAUGGGCCGCUUGGGAAGUAUGGUCGCAAGACUGAAACUUAA